GAUGAACGCUGGCGGCGUGCCUAACACAUGCAAGUCGAACGGGAUCCCCUGGAUUCGUCUGGGGGUGAGAGUGGCGAAUGGGUGAGUAACACGUAGGUGACCUACCCCAAAGAGGGGAAUAACCACUGGAAACGGUGGCUAAUACCCCAUACGCUCGGCGGUUCGGUCCGUCGAGAAAAGCUCCGGCGCUUUGGGAGGGGCCUGCGGCCCAUCAGGUAGUUGGUAGGGUAAUGGCCUACCAAGCCAAUGACGGGUAGGGGGCGUGAGAGCGUGAUCCCCCACACUGGCACUGAUACACGGGCCAGACUCCUACGGGAGGCAG
This 322-nucleotide ribosomal RNA is filed under the name uncultured Chloroflexota bacterium. RNAcentral describes it as "bacterial SSU rRNA". It matches the Rfam family "Bacterial small subunit ribosomal RNA", at positions 28 to 351 of the family's 1533-position model. Lineage: Bacteria; Bacillati; Chloroflexota. The record is from RNAcentral.